This 1156-nucleotide ribosomal RNA is filed under the name uncultured stramenopile. RNAcentral describes it as "bacterial SSU rRNA". It matches the Rfam family "Eukaryotic small subunit ribosomal RNA", at positions 577 to 1752 of the family's 1831-position model. The record is from RNAcentral.
CGGUAAUUCCAGCUCCAAUAGCGUAUACUAACGUUGUUGCAGUUAAAAAGCUCGUAGUUGGAUUUCUGAUCUUUGCCAAUGGUUGUGUCGCCGCGUGCGAGGCGCCUUGCGCAGAGGUCAACAUAUGUCACGAGCCAGUGUGAUCUAUUCAUUUAGGUCCACUGGGUAAUGACUCGUUUACUUUGAGAAAAUUAGAGUGUUCAAAGCAGGCAUUUGCCUUGAAUAUGUUAGUAUGGAAUAAUAGCAUAGGACUUCGGUUCUAUUUGUUGGUUGUUCGAGAACUGGAGUAAUGAUUGAUAGGGACGGUUGGGGGCAUCCGUAUUCUCAAGCGAGAGGUGAAAUUCUUGGACCUUGGGAAGACGAACAGCUGCGAAAGCGUUUGCCUAGGACGUUCUCUUUAAUCAAGAACGAAAGUUGGGGGAUCGAAGACGAUCAGAUACCGUCGUAGUCUCAACUAUAAACUAUGCCAGCUAGGGAUCGGUGGGUCUUUGUCACGAGUCCAUCGGCACCUUACGAGAAAUCAAAGCAUUUGGGUUCCGGGGGGAGUAUGGUCGCAAGGCUGAAACUUAAAGGAAUUGACGGAAGGGCACCACCAGGAGUGGAGCCUGUGGCUUAAUUUGACUCAACACGGGAAAACUUACCAGGUCCGGACAUAGUAAGGAUUGACAGAUUGAAAGCUCUUUCUUGAUUCUAUGGGUGGUGGUGCAUGGCCGUUCUUAGUUGGUGGAGUGAUUUGUCUGGUUAAUUCCGUUAACGAACGAGACCCGCGCCUGCUAAAUAGUCGGCCUCACUUCUGUGGGUGUUGUACUUCUUAGAGGGACCAUCCUGGGUAUACCGGAAGGAAGUUGCGGGCAAUAACAGGUCUGUGAUGCCCUUAGAUGUUCUGGGCUGCACACGGGCUACACUGCAAGAUACAACAAGCGUCGAUCACGCCUGACUGGAAGGUCCGGCCAAUCUUUGAAUAUCUUGCGUGAUUGGGAUAGACCAUUGCAAUUAUUGGUCUUCAACGAGGAAUUCCUAGUAAACGCGUGUCAACAACACGCAUUGAUUACGUCCCUGCCCUUUGUACACACCGCCCGUCGGGGGUACCGAUUGGAUGUUUCGAUGAGCCGUUUGGAGGACUAAGCUGAAAGCGUCAGCCGGAAGCUACGUCCGA